RNAcentral lists this ribosomal RNA (446 nucleotides) under uncultured bacterium. RNAcentral describes it as "bacterial SSU rRNA". It matches the Rfam family "Bacterial small subunit ribosomal RNA", at positions 355 to 796 of the family's 1533-position model. The record is from RNAcentral.
CAACGAAUCUUCCCCAAUGGGCGAAAGCCUGAGGGAGCGACGCCGCGUGAAGGACGAAGUACUUCGGUAUGUAAACUUCUGUUAGGGUUAUGAAAGUGAAGAGACUUAAUACGUCUCCAAUUGAUCUAGCCCAUAGAAAGGGACGGCUAACUCUGUGCCAGCAGCCGCGGUAAUACAGAGGUCCCAAGCGUUACUGAGAAUCACUGGGUUUAAAGGGUGCGUAGGUGGUCCGUUAAGUCAGUUGUGAAAUCCCCGGGCUCAACCCGGGAACUGCUUCUGAUACUGGCGGACUUGAGGCCAGUAGGGGUCACUAGAACUGACGGUGGAGCGGUGAAAUGCGUAGAUAUCGUCAGGAAUGCCGGUGGUGAAGACGGGUGACUGGGCUGGUUCUGACACUGAGGCACGAAAGCGUGGGGAGCGAACGGGAUUAGAUACCCCCGUAGUCC